GUAGCCGAGGGAGGGCUUCGUUAUAAAUCGAUCGGCGAAGCAAGCCUAGCUACACUCUCCGGCUACCACCUCCUAUAUGGAAACCACUUAUACAGAAACAUCGAAUUCUUUAUUAUUAUUAUAUGUAGUAAUCUCUCCAUUGGAGCUCAUCGUCGACCGACCUCUCCCUUGUGGGAGUUCCUCACUGACACCUUCUUAACAGUAGCCCGUCGAUCAACUAUAUCUCAAGUGGAAAAUACAACAUAUUUCACCUCCGAUCUACUAGCUCGCCUCUUGUUGGGCUAAUGUAAUGAUGCUGCCCCGAUGUUAGUGCCCUUUCUCCCAUUCGUGCCCUUCCGUGUCUUCGUCUUCCUCGCUCGUCUUAUUCUUCUACUUUGUCACCUUUACU
RNAcentral lists this long non-coding RNA (388 nucleotides) under Panax ginseng (ginseng). RNAcentral describes it as "long non-coding RNA (PGIN_LNC006611)". The record is from RNAcentral. Lineage: Eukaryota; Viridiplantae; Streptophyta; Magnoliopsida; Apiales; Araliaceae.